Molecule: long non-coding RNA, 2548 nt
Organism: Asterias rubens (European starfish)
Lineage: Eukaryota; Metazoa; Echinodermata; Asteroidea; Forcipulatida; Asteriidae
Exons: 2
Source: RefSeq, a predicted model, not a curated record
GUCGUCACAAACCAUUCGAUCUCGGAAUAUUAUUUGCAGAGAGCUAUAGGUUGUUUUCGGCUACUCUGAUCCUUAUAGACAUCAUAAUGAACGACGGUAGACCAAAACGGAGCCCGAAUCCAAGCCCUAAUCCCAACGGGAAUGAUCCCAGACCAAAACCGUUAUGGUUCGGAGUAUGUCCAAUCAUCGUAGUUGGCAUAGGCGCAGCCAUGGCGCUGUUUAUGGGGUUCCUGUUCUACUCCAACUAGCAUUCUGUCCAGACAGCAUGCGCAGCAGGAGAAUCAAUGUAUACGGAAAAGCAAAUAUUUGACUUCAUACCAAACACAGCCCACCCUCAUAAACUCAAACUACAGCUGAGUCCUCAAAUGGACUUUAACAAGGACAAUCAGAAAUCAAGAAAGCACGAACACAUCACCCCUAACAUAAGAGAGCUCCACUGGCUACCGGUGCCGUAAACGAAUUGAAUAUAAGGUCUUCAGACAUCACAAAAGCAAUCCACCACUUUGCACCCACCUGCAUCAAAGAUCGUCUUCAAAAAGGCACUGUCAUUACCCCCUCCAUUUUGCCUCGAACCGACUCACCGAACUUAAACCGUACACCACCCACCGUCCAGUAUUGUCGCGCACUGCAUCACAUCCAUUCUGCUGCCUCAACCCAAGUGUGCCCAAUUUCAUAAAGCAUGUAAGCACAAAAACCUGCUAAGCACAGGAAAGUCUUACUAAUAGCAAAAGUUUGUUACCGGCCAAGACUCCUUAAAGUUUACACUGUUGCGACUGGUGCUCCACUCAUUUUGUGCUUAGCAGAGGAAUUUGUCUAGCAGUAUUUUCUGCUACAAACAGCUUUUUUGAAAUUGGGCCCGUGUUGUAUAUAAUUCUCGUACAACCCACUAUGGCGACCAAGCACCGUCUCUCAUUGCACCCAGCUUUGUGGAACGAUCUACCCAGCGACAUCAUCAACAUUGACUCUUCAAAACAUUUCAAACUCAUUCUACGUAACUUCAUUUUACCGCAAGUUAUUAACAUUCAUGUUUUGUGUUGUAAUUGUAUGUAGAAAGCUUGCUACUUUGUGGAAUCUUUCAUAUACCGCCUUCAGUAAAUUUGUAGCAUAAAGAUUGAUAUAUCGGCUUGUAUUUAUGUUAUUAAGUAAAGGCAUUGUCACACACACAGGGCAAUUUAACAGCCAACUUGGAGUCAGCUACUAGCACUGAAUGCAUAUGGAACACUCCAACAGAACACUUUAGCUGUAAUCACUUUACGUGAAAAAUAAUGAAAACGUUAAUUAUGAAUGAAUUUCCUUAUUGGACAUUGCAUGUAGCUUGUUGCCUGUAAUUUGCCUGGACUUUAAAACUACAACAUCGCGACAAAAGUCGACCUGGAAAGCAAAGCACAUUGACAAAUUUGCGGAAGCCAUGUGGAAGAUGGACAUAAUUUAAGAGAAGAAAAAAAAAAGAAUUCCAGUAUGUUGAACUGUUCAUACUGCUUUUAGAUUACAUUGCACAUCUCUCACCUUUUCUAUUAUCUACCCAUAUUUAUUGAGUGUAAAAAUUGGUUAAGUUUCCGUCCCCAACUCUCUCAGGCCUUCCCAUUAUUUUAUUCCCAUUCUUUAGUUAACAAGCAAAUAUUGACAAUAACAUAAUUGCAACACCUACCACUAAAGACGUUUGAGAUCCCAUCAUGUAAAAACAAGAGUAAUUUUUAACAAGGAAGUAAAAGUCCUUUAAAAUGCUGUAUAGUCAAUGUCCCUGCCCAUAUACCUGCAGCAACUUUGUACUUACGUCGCACCAGGGCGUUGUCAGGGAAGACGACACCACUGUGGCCCUAUUCGAAACCACGGCUUCGGCUUUGGAUUCUUGUUCAGGCUCCUUCAUUCGGCUGACGCCUUUAGCACGUACGCAAAGAACGCGCAAUUGUCAAAUCAGUCGCGGGGUCAAGUUACCCUGAGCCGAAUCUGGAGCCGAAACAGUGGUUUUGAAAAGGGCCUGUAAUAAUUAACAUUACAACAAAAAUGCAGACGACUGUUCUCUGGCUUAUUGCUCGUACAUUACUAGCUACUGUUUUGCUUUGUAGUCCACACAUUUGUAGCAUUUUCCCCAAAGUAUCAUCAGCCUGUUAAUGCAAAGUAUACGUUUUUAUAACCAGUACAUUUCAAGGUUUUGUUUUUAUAAAUUUGUAUAGUUUAGUCAGAGCAGAUAAAGUCGAUUCUACGCGUCAUGGUUUAUGAAAAAAUGAGUUUUUCAAAACGAGUGCCGAAAAAAGACGCCGUGCGUCAUUUUCAAACAAAGGUGGAAUGUUCAGCAAUACUGGUUAAAGUUACAACGCUCAUACAAAUAACAACUAAAAAGAAUACAUUUUAAAUGCCGGGUAGACGCUAAUCAGUACUUAUAUGUUGCAAAGUUGAAUUUUCCCUUCCAAAUGUCGUCCAUGAUUAAUGCUUUACCUGUACUUUUUUGUUUUAAUAUUAAGCAUUCGUGCAAAAAGUUGCUCAUUCACGUUACGUUUUGUAUUAUUUUAACAGAAACGAAAUAAAAAUGCGUUGCCGUCAAUGACAA